This 84-nucleotide transfer RNA is filed under the name Candidatus Buchananbacteria bacterium RBG_13_36_9. Its description in RNAcentral is "tRNA-Leu". It matches the Rfam family "tRNA". From Rfam's summary of the family: Transfer RNA (tRNA) molecules are approximately 80 nucleotides in length. Their secondary structure includes four short double-helical elements and three loops (D, anti-codon, and T loops). The record is from RNAcentral. Lineage: Bacteria; Candidatus Buchananiibacteriota.
GCCGCUGUGGCGGAACUGGUAGACGCGCACGACUCAAAAUCGUGUGGGAGCAAUUCCAUGUCGGUUCGACUCCGACCAGCGGCA